This 79-nucleotide transfer RNA is filed under the name Phakopsora pachyrhizi. RNAcentral describes it as "tRNA-Arg". It matches the Rfam family "tRNA". Rfam says of the family: Transfer RNA (tRNA) molecules are approximately 80 nucleotides in length. Their secondary structure includes four short double-helical elements and three loops (D, anti-codon, and T loops). Further hydrogen bonds mediate the characteristic L-shaped molecular structure. tRNAs have two regions of fundamental functional importance: the anti-codon, which is responsible for specific mRNA codon recognition, and the 3' end, to which the tRNAs corresponding amino acid is attached (by aminoacyl-tRNA synthetases). tRNAs cope with the degeneracy of the genetic code in two manners: having more than one tRNA (with a specific anti-codon) for a particular amino acid; and 'wobble' base-pairing, i.e. permitting non-standard base-pairing at the 3rd anti-codon position. The record is from RNAcentral. Lineage: Eukaryota; Fungi; Basidiomycota; Pucciniomycetes; Pucciniales; Phakopsoraceae.
GCCCCUGUGGCGUAAUGGUAACGCGUUGGACUUCUAUCCUGGAAUCCAAAGACUGCGGGUUCGAGCCCCGCCGGGGGUG